RNAcentral lists this ribosomal RNA (253 nucleotides) under uncultured bacterium. Its description in RNAcentral is "partial 16S ribosomal RNA". It matches the Rfam family "Bacterial small subunit ribosomal RNA", at positions 524 to 776 of the family's 1533-position model. The record is from RNAcentral.
UACGGGGGGGGCUAGCGUUGUUCGGAAUUACUGGGCGUAAAGGGCGCGUAGGCGGCCUACUAAGUCGGACGUGAAAUCCCUCGGCUCAACCGGGGAACUGCGUCCGAUACUGGUGGGCUCGAAUCCGGGAGAGGGAUGUGGAAUUCCAGGUGUAGCGGUGAAAUGCGUAGAUAUCUGGAGGAACACCGGUGGCGAAGGCGGCAUCCUGGACCGGUAUUGACGCUGAUGCGCGAAAUCCAGGGGAGCAAACGGG